CUACCAUGGCAGUCACGGGUAACGGAGAAUUAGGGUUCGAUUCCGGAGAGGGAGCCUGAGAAACGGCUACCACAUCUACGGAAGGCAGCAGGAGCGAAAAUUGCCCAAUCCCGACACGGGGAGGCAGUGACGAGAAAUAACAACUCUUGGUUAUUCUAAGAAGUGUAAUGAGGAUAAUUUAAAACCCUUACCGAAAGCAAUUGGAGGGCAAGUCUGGUGCCAGCAGCCGCGGUAAUUCCAGCUCCAAUAGCGUAUAUUAAAGUUGUUGCAGUUAAAAAGCUCGUAGUUGAAGUUCUGGCUGUUUGACCCUCGAGCUCUGUAGCCGAGGGCUCAACAGUCAUCCGCUUGCAAACAUAUGUUCGCCUUUAACCGGGCGGCUAUGUGAGUAAGCAUUUUACCUUGAGAAAAACAGAGUGUUCCAGGCAGGUUUGUCCGGAAUGCAUUAACAUGGAAUAAUAGAAUAUGACUGAAGUCGAUUUAUUGGUUUGAGGCUUUAGUAAUGAUUAAUAGGAACAGUCGGGGGCAUUGGUACUUGACAGUCAGAGGUGAAAUUCUAGGAUUUGUCAAAGACUAACAAAUGCGAAAGCAUUUGCCAAGGAUGUUUUCAUUAAUCAAGAACGAAAGUUAGGGGACC
This 634-nucleotide ribosomal RNA is filed under the name uncultured eukaryote. RNAcentral's name for it is "SSU rRNA". It matches the Rfam family "Eukaryotic small subunit ribosomal RNA", at positions 341 to 999 of the family's 1831-position model. The record is from RNAcentral.